CCUACGGGGGGCUGCAGUGGGGAAUAUUGGACAAUGGGGGGAACCCUGAUCCAGCCAUGCCGCGUGUGUGAAGAAGGCCCUCGGGUUGUAAAGCACUUUCAGUGAGGAAGAACGCCUGGUGGUUAAUACCCAUCAGGAAAGACAUCUCUCACAGAAGAAGCACCGGCUAACUCCGUGCCAGCAGCCGCGGUAAUACGGAGGGUGCGAGCGUUAAUCGGAAUUACUGGGCGUAAAGCGCGCGUAGGUGGCUUGAUAAGCCGGUUGUGAAAGCCCCGGGCUCAACCUGGGAACGGCAUCCGGAACUGUCAAGCUAGAGUGCAGGAGAGGAAGGUAGAAUUCCCGGUGUAGCGGUGAAAUGCGUAGAGAUCGGGAGGAAUACCAGUGGCGAAGGCGGCCUUCUGGACUGACACUGACACUGAGGUGCGAAAGCGUGGGUAGCAAACAGGAUUAGAUACCCCAGUAGUC
RNAcentral lists this ribosomal RNA (465 nucleotides) under Vreelandella stevensii. Its description in RNAcentral is "partial 16S ribosomal RNA". It matches the Rfam family "Bacterial small subunit ribosomal RNA", at positions 338 to 795 of the family's 1533-position model. The record is from RNAcentral. Lineage: Bacteria; Pseudomonadati; Pseudomonadota; Gammaproteobacteria; Oceanospirillales; Halomonadaceae.